This 756-nucleotide ribosomal RNA is filed under the name Solobacterium moorei. Its description in RNAcentral is "bacterial SSU rRNA". It matches the Rfam family "Bacterial small subunit ribosomal RNA", at positions 28 to 776 of the family's 1533-position model. Lineage: Bacteria; Bacillati; Bacillota; Erysipelotrichia; Erysipelotrichales; Erysipelotrichaceae. The record is from RNAcentral.
GAUGAACGCUGGCGGCGUGCCUAAUACAUGCAAGUCGAACGCUGGAGAUCUAGCUUGCUAGAUCGAAGGAGUGGCGAACGGGUGAGUAAUACAUAAGCAACCUACCCACGAAGACUGGGAUAAUCUCUGGAAACGGGGACUAAUACCGGAUAGGUAAUCGGAAGGCAUCUUCUGAUUAUUAAAGGUUAAAAACACUGGUGGAUGGGCUUAUGGCGCAUUAGUUAGUUGGUGAGGUAACGGCCCACCAAGACGAUGAUGCGUAGCCGGCCUGAGAGGGUGAACGGCCACAUUGGGACUGAGACACGGCCCAGACUCCUACGGGAGGCAGCAGUAGGGAAUUUUCGGCAAUGGGGGAAACCCUGACCGAGCAACGCCGCGUGAGUGAUGACGGCCUUCGGGUUGUAAAGCUCUGUUGUAAGGGAAGAACGGUAGAUAGAGAAUAUCUAAGUGACGGUACCUUACCAGAAAGCCACGGCUAACUACGUGCCAGCAGCCGCGGCAAUACGUAGGGUGCGAGCGUUAAUCGGAAUUACUGGGCGUAAAGCGAGCGCAGACGGUUACUUAAGCAGGAUGUGAAAUCCCCGGGCUUAACCUGGGAACUGCGUUCUGAACUGGGUAGCUAGAGUAUGUCAGAGGGGGGUAGAAUUCCACGUGUAGCAGUGAAAUGCGUAGAGAUGUGGAGGAAUACCGAUGGGCGAAGGCAGCCCCCUUGGAUGAUACUGACGUUCAUGCUCGAAAGCGUGGGUAGCAAACAGG